CCGGCCGUUAAGUGCCGCUGCGCCAAUGGUACUGCGUCUCAAGACGUGGGAGAGUAGGGCACCGCCAAAC
Molecule: ribosomal RNA, 70 nt
Filed under: Salipiger profundus
Lineage: Bacteria; Pseudomonadati; Pseudomonadota; Alphaproteobacteria; Rhodobacterales; Roseobacteraceae
Source: RNAcentral